Molecule: ribosomal RNA, 54 nt
Filed under: Candidatus Liberibacter asiaticus
Lineage: Bacteria; Pseudomonadati; Pseudomonadota; Alphaproteobacteria; Hyphomicrobiales; Rhizobiaceae
Description: partial 23S ribosomal RNA
Source: RNAcentral
AAUCAAGCGCGAAAGGGCAUUUGGUGGAUGCCUUGGCAUGCACAGGCGAUGAAG